UGGGGAUGACGUCAAAGUCAUCAUGCCCCUUAUGUCUAGGGCUACACACGUGCUACAAUGGUGAGGACAAAGAGACGCAAGACCGCGAGGUGGAGCAAAUCUCACAAACCUCAUCCCAGUUCGGAUUGCAGGCUGAAACUCGCCUGCAUGAAGCCGGAGUUGCUAGUAAUCGCGAAUCAGCAUGUCCGCGGUCCGAAUACGUUCCCGGGCCUU
This 213-nucleotide ribosomal RNA is filed under the name uncultured Clostridium sp. RNAcentral describes it as "partial 16S ribosomal RNA". It matches the Rfam family "Bacterial small subunit ribosomal RNA", at positions 1174 to 1382 of the family's 1533-position model. The record is from RNAcentral. Lineage: Bacteria; Bacillati; Bacillota; Clostridia; Eubacteriales; Clostridiaceae.